RNAcentral lists this small nuclear RNA (332 nucleotides) under Mesocricetus auratus (golden hamster). RNAcentral describes it as "7SK RNA". It matches the Rfam family "7SK RNA". From Rfam's summary of the family: 7SK was discovered as an abundant small nuclear RNA in the mid-70s but a possible function has only recently been suggested. Two independent studies have found that 7SK RNA binds the CDK9/cyclin T complex (known as elongation factor P-TEFb). The record is from Rfam by way of RNAcentral. Lineage: Eukaryota; Metazoa; Chordata; Mammalia; Rodentia; Cricetidae.
AGUUGUGUAAGCGUCCUCAUUGGGCUGUGACAUCUGUCAUCCGUUGCUCAUCAGGAUUGAUUUGGUCAAUCUGGCUACACAAGUACCCCCUUCUUCCAUCACUGUUCCAUAUGUGAAGCUCCCUAAGUGGUGGGGUUGGACGAAGAGGACUGCCUUCCCAGAUAGGGGAGGAUGGGGGUCUUCACUUAAGGAUAUAUGAGUAGUUACACUCCCCUGCUAGAACCUUCAAUCAAGCUCUCAAAAUUCUGAUUAUUACUUAAACAUACACGUUAGGGGGGCAAUUUAUACCACUCUUAUAAGGACAGUGGGAGAGAGAGAAUUUAUGCUACCAC